AACUUAAAGGAAUUGACGGGGGCCCGCACAAGCGGAGGAGCAUGUGGUUUAAUUCGAUGAUACGCGAGGAACCUUACCUGGGCUCGAACGUAAGAUGACUGUAGGUGAAAGCUUACAUCUCUUCGGAGCAUUUUACGAGGUGCUGCAUGGUUGUCGUCAGCUCGUGCCGUGAGGUGUCGGGUUAAGUCCCGUAACGAGCGCAACCCUUGUCCUUAGUUACCAGCACGUUAUGGUGGGCACUCUAAGGAGACUGCCGGUGACAAACCGGAGGAAGGUGGGGAUGACGUCAAGUCAUCAUGGCCCUUACGGCCUGGGCUACACACGUGCUACAAUGGUCGGUACAAAGGGUUGCCAAGCCGCGAGGUGGAGCUAAUCCCAUAAAACCGAUCGUAGUCCGGAUCGCAGUCUGCAACUCGACUGCGUGAAGUCGGAAUCGCUAGUAAUCGUGAAUCAGAAUGUCACGGUGAAUACGUUCCCGGGCCUU
Molecule: ribosomal RNA, 484 nt
Filed under: uncultured Pseudomonas sp.
Lineage: Bacteria; Pseudomonadati; Pseudomonadota; Gammaproteobacteria; Pseudomonadales; Pseudomonadaceae
Description: bacterial SSU rRNA
Rfam family: Bacterial small subunit ribosomal RNA
Source: RNAcentral